AGGACGAACGCUGGCGGCGUGCUUAACACAUGCAAGUCGAACGGAAAGGCCCUUUCGGGGGUACUCGAGUGGCGAACGGGUGAGUAACACGUGGGUGAUCUGCCCUGCACUUUGGGAUAAGCCUGGGAAACUGGGUCUAAUACCGAAUACACCUUGCUGGCUGCAUGGCCUGGUGGGGGAAAGCUUUUGCGGUGUGGGAUGGGCCCGCGGCCUAUCAGCUUGUUGGUGGGGUGAUGGCCUACCAAGGCGACGACGGGUAGCCGGCCUGAGAGGGUGUCCGGCCACACUGGGACUGAGAUACGGCCCAGACUCCUACGGGAGGCAGCAGUGGGGAAUAUUGCACAAUGGGCGCAAGCCUGAUGCAGCGACGCCACGUGAGGGAUGACGGCCUUCGGGUUGUAAACCGUCUUUCAGUAUCGACGAAGCGCAAGUGACGGUAGGUACAGAAGAAGCACCGGCCAACUACGCACCAGCAGCCGCGGU
Molecule: ribosomal RNA, 483 nt
Filed under: uncultured bacterium
Lineage: Bacteria
Description: SSU rRNA
Rfam family: Bacterial small subunit ribosomal RNA
Source: RNAcentral